This 567-nucleotide ribosomal RNA is filed under the name uncultured bacterium. RNAcentral describes it as "bacterial SSU rRNA". It matches the Rfam family "Bacterial small subunit ribosomal RNA", at positions 102 to 683 of the family's 1533-position model. The record is from RNAcentral.
ACGGGUGAGUAACACGUGAGUAACCUGCCCUUAACUCUGGGAUAAGCCUGGGAAACUGGGUCUAAUACCGGAUAGGAGCGUCCACCGCAUGGUGGGUGUUGGAAAGAUUUAUCGGUUUUGGAUGGACUCGCGGCCUAUCAGCUUGUUGGUGAGGUAAUGGCUCACCAAGGCGACGACGGGUAGCCGGCCUGAGAGGGUGACCGACCACACUGGGACUGAGACACGGCCCAGACUCCUACGGGAGGCAGCAGUGGGGAAUAUUGCACAAUGGGCGCAAGCCUGAUGCAGCGACGCCGCGUGAGGGAUGACGGCCUUCGGGUUGUAAACCUCUUUCAGUAGGGAAGAAGCGAAAGUGACGGUACCUGCAGAAGAAGCACCGGCUAACUACGUGCCAGCAGCCGCGGUAAUACGUAGGGUGCGAGCGUUAUCCGGAAUUAUUGGGCGUAAAGAGCUCGUAGGCGGUUUGUCGCGUCUGUCGUGAAAGUCCGGGGCUUAACCCCGGAUCUGCGGUGGGUACGGGCAGACUAGAGUGCAGUAGGGGAGACUGGAAUUCCUGGUGUAGCGGUG